GACCAGAUAUUCCAGAUUUAUUUGAAGAAGUUAAAACUUGAUAAUGAGCCAUCGUACUUCUCCCAGAGACUUGCGGCCCUUACUCCUGGAUUUGCUGGAGCAGAUAUUGCAAAUGUUGUUAAUGAAGCUGCUUUAAUUGCUGCGAGGAGUGACCAAACAACAGUGACAAUGGAGCAUUUUGAGGGGGCUAUUGAUAGAGUAAUUGGUGGCUUGGAAAAGAAGAACAAGGUUAGUUGUAACCAGAUGAUUUCAUAUAUGUGUUGUGCUAGUUAAAUAUAUUUAUUCAUUAGUCAAUGUCCAGUAAAAGUUCACCUGUCAAAACCUAACAUGUUAACAUUAAGUUUCUUUGAUCUGUAGAAAUAUAAAGAAAAAAUAUCCUUGUGGAUCUGCCAUAUAUUAAUUUAUGGUUAUUUAUCAUAUAUGGCCAAUAUUAGGAUCAAGGUAGCCCCAUGAAAAUAUAGAGAACUUCAAUUUUGCUGCUCUGUACCUCUGUUGUUUGUCAAUUACGAAUAGAUUGAACUAUUACAGGGCUGUAACUUAUAACCAUAGUUAGCUGGAAAUUUUCUUCAUUCAUAUAUAUAGUAUUAAAAUUAAGUGAUUAAAUGUGAAGCACAGUCCUUCCACGUAUAUGGUGUUAUAAAUGAGACAUAUUUUUCGAUACUUUAGUUAAGUGUGUAUGUUUGUCUUGGUGAUUUGCUUAUAUGUUGUAUAUCCGUAAACAGGUUAUAAGCAAACUUGAGCGUCGGACUGUAGCUUAUCAUGAAGCAGGUCAUGCCAUUGUAGGAUGGUUUUUGGAACACACAGAACCUUUGCUAAAAGUUACUAUCGUUCCUCGCGGUACAGCUGCACUUGGUUUUGCACAAUAUGUACCAAAUGAAAACCUUCUCAUGACCAAGGAGCAGCUUUUUGAUAUGACAUGCAUGACACUUGGUGGUCGUGCAUCUGAGCAGGUUAGUUGAUGCAUGUUUUUACUAUUUGAGUUGCAUUGCCAAUAAUUUUUUGUUAAAUCACGGGAAAGUCACUGUUAAUACAUUUUUGACUUAAGGAUAUAACAAAAAGUUCUAUGAAAAUAGAAAGAACCUUCCUGCCACAGUUUUUCAAAUUUUUUCUGUAGCUAUAGAAGAUUUUCUUUGGUUUCAGGUUAUGUUGGGUAAAAUCUCGACUGGAGCACAAAAUGACUUGGAGAAAGUGACAAAAAUGACAUAUGCACAAGUAGCAGUCUAUGGCUUUAGUGAGAAGGUGGGUCUCCUUUCUUUCCCUCAGAGAGAGGAUGGUGGCUUUGAGAUGACUAAGCCCUACAGCAACAAGAC
RNAcentral lists this long non-coding RNA (1310 nucleotides) under Daucus carota (carrot). RNAcentral's name for it is "long non-coding RNA (DCAR_LNC001464)". The record is from RNAcentral. Lineage: Eukaryota; Viridiplantae; Streptophyta; Magnoliopsida; Apiales; Apiaceae.